GCCAGGCGUGGUGGCUCAUGCCUGUAAUCCCAGCACUUUGGGAGGCUGAGAUAGGUGGAUCACCUGAGGUCAGGAGUUUGAGACCAGCCUGACCAACAUGGUGAAACCCUGUCUCUA
Macaca mulatta (Rhesus monkey) is the source of this 117-nucleotide unclassified non-coding RNA. It matches the Rfam family "Metazoan signal recognition particle RNA". Rfam says of the family: The signal recognition particle (SRP) is a universally conserved ribonucleoprotein. It is involved in the co-translational targeting of proteins to membranes. The eukaryotic SRP consists of a 300-nucleotide 7S RNA and six proteins: SRPs 72, 68, 54, 19, 14, and 9. NCBI's taxonomy places the organism in Eukaryota, Metazoa, Chordata, Mammalia, Primates, Cercopithecidae. The record is from Ensembl.